This 390-nucleotide ribosomal RNA is filed under the name uncultured bacterium. RNAcentral describes it as "bacterial SSU rRNA". It matches the Rfam family "Bacterial small subunit ribosomal RNA", at positions 28 to 416 of the family's 1533-position model. The record is from RNAcentral.
GACGAACGCUGGCGGCAUGCUUUACACAUGCAAGUCGAGCGGCAGCGCGGGGGCAACUCUGGCGGCGAGCGGCGAACGGGUGAGGAAUACAUCGGAACGUGUCUCGUAAUGGGGGAUAGCCCGGCGAAAGCCGGAUUAAUACCGCAUAUGCUCUACGGAGGAAAGCCGGGGAUCUGUUAAAGGACCUGGCGUUAUGGGAGCGGCCGAUGUCCGAUUAGCUAGUUGGUGGGGUAAAGGCUUACCAAGGCGACGAUCGGUAGCUGGUCUGAGAGGAUGAUCAGCCACACUGGGACUGAGACACGGCCCAGACUCCUACGGGAGGCAGCAGUGGGGAAUUUUGGACAAUGGGGGCAACCCUGAUCCAGCCAUGCCGCGUGCGGGAAGAAGGCC